AAGCCUAAUUAGUGUUCUAUAAGUUUCUCGUUGUGUUUGUCUAGUGUUGUGUGUUAUUGAUUUUUGUCAGUCGUGUAUAGGGCGUGUUUCCUGUAUUUCGCUCGGUUGAGCUUCCCUCCACUGUUGGAGUAUUUACGCACCUGUUUGUGCGCUUUUGUUUUGUUCGCCUUCGUG
This is a long non-coding RNA of Coregonus clupeaformis (lake whitefish), 174 nucleotides long. RefSeq lists it as uncharacterized. NCBI's taxonomy places the organism in Eukaryota, Metazoa, Chordata, Actinopteri, Salmoniformes, Salmonidae. The record is from RefSeq and is a predicted model, not a curated record. The transcript is spliced from 3 exons.